This 620-nucleotide ribosomal RNA is filed under the name Porpidia flavocaerulescens. Its description in RNAcentral is "LSU rRNA". It matches the Rfam family "Eukaryotic large subunit ribosomal RNA", at positions 32 to 667 of the family's 3401-position model. Lineage: Eukaryota; Fungi; Ascomycota; Lecanoromycetes; Lecideales; Lecideaceae. The record is from RNAcentral.
ACUUAAGCAUAUCAAUAAGCGGAGGAAAAGAAACCAACAGGGAUUGCCUCAGUAACGGCGAGUGAAGCGGCAACAGCUCAAAUUUGAAAUCUGACCCCUUCGGGGCCCGAGUUGUAAUUUGUAGAGGAUGCUUCGGGUGCGGCGCCGGUCUAAGUUCCUUGGAACAGGACGUCAUAGAGGGUGAGAAUCCCGUAUGCGACCGGCGGCCAACCCCGUGUGAAGCCCCUUCGACGAGUCGAGUUGUUUGGGAAUGCAGCUCAAAAUGGGUGGUAAAUUUCAUCUAAAGCUAAAUACCGGCCAGAGACCGAUAGCGCACAAGUAGAGUGAUCGAAAGAUGAAAAGCACUUUGGAAAGAGAGUCAAACAGUACGUGAAAUUGUUGAAAGGGAAGCGCUUGCAACCAGACCUGCCCGCGGGCGAUCAGCCGUUAUUCUUAGCGGUGCACUCGUCCGCGAUCAGGCCAGCAUCGGUUCGAGCGGCCGGAUAAAGGCCUCGGGAAUGUAGCUCCCCCCGGGGAGUCUUAUAGCCCGGGGUGCAAUGCGGCCAGCCCGGACCGAGGACCGCGCUUCGGCUAGGAUGCUGGCGUAAUGGUUGUAAGCGACCCGUCUUGAAACACGGACC